Molecule: ribosomal RNA, 255 nt
Filed under: uncultured bacterium
Lineage: Bacteria
Description: partial 16S ribosomal RNA
Rfam family: Bacterial small subunit ribosomal RNA
Source: RNAcentral
UACGUAGGGCGCAAGCGUUGUCCGGAAUUAUUGGGCGUAAAGAGCUCGUAGGCGGCCUGUUGCGUCCGCUGUGAAAUCCCGGGGCUCAACCCCGGGCGUGCAGUGGAUACGGGCUGGCUGGAGGCAGGCAGGGGAGAACGGAAGUUCCUGGUGUAGCGGUGAAAUGCGCAGAUAUCAGGAGGAACACCGGUGGCGAAGGCGGUUCUCUGGGCCUGUACUGACGCUGGAGGAGCGAAAGCGUGGGGAGCGAACAGG